AGUGAACGCUGGCGGCAGGCCUAACACAUGCAAGUCGAGCGGCAGCGGGUCCCCGCGAGGGGAUGCCGGCGAGCGGCGGACGGGUGAGGAACACAUCGGAAUCUGCCUGGUUGUGGGGGAUAACGUAGGGAAACUUACGCUAAUACCGCAUGCGACCCUGAGUCGACGGACUGGGGGUGAAAGUGAGGGACCUUCGGGCCUCACGCGACCAGAUGAGCCGAUGUCGGAUUAGCUAGUUGGCGGGGUAACGGCCCGCCAAGGCGACGAUCCGUAGCUGGUCUGAGAGGAUGAUCAGCCACACUGGGACUGAGACACGGCCCAGACUCCUACGGGAGGCAGCAGUGGGGAAUC
Molecule: ribosomal RNA, 351 nt
Filed under: uncultured bacterium
Lineage: Bacteria
Description: bacterial SSU rRNA
Rfam family: Bacterial small subunit ribosomal RNA
Source: RNAcentral